GGGCUCUGGAGGCGUGAGGUGAGGCAAGGUGUUUGCCUUUGCAGAACCUGUUUCUGUGUGAAAAAAGAUCCAAGGGAUAAUUUUGUUGAGCCUGCCUCAAGGGCAUGCGCUGAUGGUUGUGAAGAUGCUGCAGUUGUGAAAGGUCUUUGGGAGGAUCCAACGCUCCCACUUGAGUGUCUGGGGCCUCUUGACCAGUCAGCACCUGGCCGGCCAAUAGUACCGGCCCAGGCUGAUGGAUGAUAAAGAGAGGAGGGUGUGCAGAGGGAGCCAGGAGAUCACAGUGGCCCAUUCUGGACUGCAGGAGGCUGGGUGGCCUUGGAAGGGUCUGAAGACGCCCAUCUACCAGCUCUGUCUCUUGUAGCAGGUUCUGGUGACCCAGUUGGACCCUGAGUACUUGAGAAAGAGCUCUGGGAAUUGGGAAUGGGGCCUGAGACUGAGAAAUGAAGCCUGAAGUUUCCCCCAGCUUUGAGUUCAAGGUCCUAUUCUGGCUCCACUUCAGCAGAACUGUCCUAUCUUCCCACACCUCACCAGAAUCCCUCCUUGACACACUCUGGGCAGGCCCUGUGAGUCCUCUCAUCCCCUACCCGCUGCCUGGGCCUGUGAAGACUUGAACAGACACUGACAAGGUUUCUAACAGCGCAAGCCCCAUCCCUAAGAUUACUCCAGACUGACUAAGAGGACCUGCAUGGGAAAGCUCAAGACCAUCCCAGGAAUUGACUGUUUCUUCUAGCCAACACUUGAAGGUGGGGUCCCCUGCUUUCCAGUGUAUGUGGGAGAGCAGCAGCCUAACUUUGACAAGUAUCGUUUCUAACCAUUUGUCUCACAUGGACCAUCCACUGCCAUCUGCUUUUUAAAGUUUUGCACUUCGCUGGCUUUACUGUGGCCAGCUCACCCCCUCCUCCUCCACGUUCUUCCUUUACAACACCAGCCGCUCUGUACAAACUCAGGUGAGGUUCAGUUCACACUGGACUUUUCCCUGCCACCAUGGUGGGUACUAAGGUCUGUCCUCACCACUAUAACUGGUGCUGACUUUGUCUCCACUCCCGCCCCAACUGCCCAGCCCCUCCUUUUUUCCUGUUUUGGGCAGGACCUGGUUUGUUAUCUGACUGUGGGAAUUAUUUAAUGCCCGACUUCUCACCUAGAGAAGCCCCUUGAGGCAGGGAGCAGGUUUUAGCCUUCUCUUAGUCCUGCAUGUGAUGAAUGUAUUCAGGACACAUCAGAAAGGUUGACAUGAAUUUGGUGGGGUCCUGAUUAGGGCCAGAGACAAAGACUCUGCAGUCUACCAGCAGACACAGCUGGCUCACUGCUCCACCACUGAGUGAAUGAGGGGCAGCAGGUACCCUUGGUUCCACUCUUGGGAGUGAUUGAACUGGGUUUUCUGGAACAAGAAAAGACAAGUGCUUUGGUUUGUGUGCUGGUUCUGCAAAGUUGGCCAGAUUGCUUUCACUGUACUUUAAUUUCUUCAUCUAUAAAAUGGGACGACAGUAGUACUAACCUCCCACUUGUACUGUGUUAGGAUUAACUGAGCUGAGUUAGGUAGCAGGCACGGAAGCCUGGUGCCCAGUACACCAGUUCAACACGUGUGACCUCUUAGUGGGUUCUGGAGGCCUUGUCACCUCCAGGCCUGUGCCUCCAGGUGACUUCUGCGUCUUUGUUCACUUGUGGACUCCUCUCUCUCAUCAGUAAUUAUGUCCAACGUCUGGUAGCAGAGUUUAUACCUUAUUUGGUUUUCAAUACUACUUGUAUAGGAGGAAUUGUUAUAUGCAUUUAAAAAUAUUCUUUGUCUCUUUCUUUCUUUGGAGUUUUGUUGAAGGACUUCAGGUUAAAAUAAGUAUUAAAAUUUGCAAAAUCAAAUGUUGAUUUGUAAGAAGGUGAAGUCAAGGCUGGGGAGAUAUCUCAGUGAUAGAGAAGAGGUGUUUUCCUGGCAGGCAAGAGGCUCGGGGCUGGAUCUACAGCACCAGGAAAAAUAAAUAAAUAAAGACACAAAGGAUUAAGCAAAGGAGAGUCUAGGUUUCCAUGAAAACUUCUUCUCACCCAAUUCUUCUAGGAUAUAUAGUCCACUUUCUGCUUGCAAAUUUAUUUCCAGAAAGGAGGGCUGGGGUUCAUAUCAUCAUUCUUUUUUUUAAAUGUUGCACAUACUUUUCUUGCUACUCCUUUUGUUUUGCUUUGUUAAAGUAUGGGUUUUCUUUAUUUAAACCACUUUGUCACUUGUCCUUUACCUUUGCUUCUAUUAUUCUUCAUUUGUGCUUUUAUGUUGAAUAAAAUUUCUAUAUCUUUACUCUGUUCCUCUGAUGCCUUAGAAACUAUAGACUAUGUUUCUAGUCUUUCAAUAUUUACCUCAGAUUUUGAACAUGUGGAUUUGACUAUACAUUUUUCUAAAAUUCUUCUGAGCCUCUAUUUUUUCCCUAAACAAGGACCUAAACAUGUUUCAGGCACACACUGAAUACCAAGCCCACCUGUCUUACUAUUGUUUCUAGGAACUUUAGUAUGGCCUGAAAAAAAAAAUAAUGGAACUUCUUUUUAUAGAAAAUGGCAACUAUGCACAAUAGGAGAGAGAAGUGAUGUUCGUGUCGCUGGUUUCAAUGAUUAUGAACAUUUUGCCAAUCUUGUUCCACUCUGUUGAGCUUUUCUGCUCUGCUCCCCAGCAGGAGCAUUUUAAAGCAAAUCUAUGGCAUUAUGAUCAUUUUACCCAUGCACACUUUAGAAUGAAUUCUGACAGAUAAAAAAACGUAACCACAAUAUCCAUAAAUAUGCCUAAAAAGUAGAACACUUCUUCAUAACACCCAAUGCUUAACACGUAUUCAAAUAUCCCUGACUUUAUCAAGCAUGUCUUUUCUGCACUCCUCUGCCCGAAUCUGGAUACCCAAAGGUGCGUUCUUGCAUUUGGCUUGUACGUCUUUUAAGUUCUUUAGCAUUAGGGGUUUUUUUUUUUUUUUCACAUGCUGUAUAAAAUUAUCACAAAAUUCAUUUUCACAUUU
RNAcentral lists this long non-coding RNA (2978 nucleotides) under Marmota monax (woodchuck). The record is from RNAcentral. Lineage: Eukaryota; Metazoa; Chordata; Mammalia; Rodentia; Sciuridae.